Molecule: transfer RNA, 70 nt
Filed under: Marmota marmota marmota (Alpine marmot)
Lineage: Eukaryota; Metazoa; Chordata; Mammalia; Rodentia; Sciuridae
Also listed under: 1 other name
Rfam family: tRNA
About the family: Transfer RNA (tRNA) molecules are approximately 80 nucleotides in length. Their secondary structure includes four short double-helical elements and three loops (D, anti-codon, and T loops). Further hydrogen bonds mediate the characteristic L-shaped molecular structure. tRNAs have two regions of fundamental functional importance: the anti-codon, which is responsible for specific mRNA codon recognition, and the 3' end, to which the tRNAs corresponding amino acid is attached (by aminoacyl-tRNA synthetases). tRNAs cope with the degeneracy of the genetic code in two manners: having more than one tRNA (with a specific anti-codon) for a particular amino acid; and 'wobble' base-pairing, i.e. permitting non-standard base-pairing at the 3rd anti-codon position.
Source: Rfam by way of RNAcentral
UGGGUUGUAGCUCAGUGGUAGAGCGCUUGCCUGGCACGUGAAGCACUGAGUUCCAUCCUCAGCACCAUAU